This 229-nucleotide ribosomal RNA is filed under the name uncultured bacterium. RNAcentral's name for it is "partial 16S ribosomal RNA". It matches the Rfam family "Bacterial small subunit ribosomal RNA", at positions 568 to 796 of the family's 1533-position model. The record is from RNAcentral.
UGCGUAGGCGGGUUAAUAAGUCAGUGGUGAAAGUCUGCAGCUUAACUGUAGAAUUGCCAUUGAUACUGUUAACCUUGAGUAUAGUUGAGGUGGGCGGAAUGUGUCAUGUAGCGGUGAAAUGCUUAGAUAUGACACAGAACACCGAUUGCGUAGGCAGCUCACUAAACUAUUACUGACGCUGAGGCACGAAAGCGUGGGGAGCGAACAGGAUUAGAUACCCUGGUAGUCC